UGAAAACACACAUUCACAUUUAGAUACUGAGGAUUUUUAUUCUUGAAAAAAAGACCAUCUUAUGGAUAUUUCUCACACUUUUAAAGUGGAAAUGUUCUCUGUAACAUCUGCAUCUCUCUGCUGGACUUUACUUUUUGCUUACCUCCUCUGUGUCUCUGCAGACCAGAAAAACAUCAAAGCAGUGGUUGGACAGAUGGUCACUCUGCCAUGUCAAGCUCCAAAAAACAACAAGUCCAUCAUUGCUGCAGAGUGGAGCAGAAAUGAUCUGGGGGAUAAAUAUUUACUUUUGUACUGGAAAGAGCAGUUUGAUCCAACCAAACAGCAUCCAUCUUUCAAGAACCGGGUUGAUCUGCAGGACAUACAGAUGAAGGAUGGAGACGUGUCUUUGAUUCUGAAGGAAGUGACGACUGCGGACAGUGGAACAUACGAGUGUCGUGUUGUACAGAGAGGAACAAAUAUGGAUGAUGAAACCAUCAGCACCACCUACCUUAGAGUCGUUGCUCCAGAGGCACCUCAAGAUGUCUGCAAGCCAACUGAAAGAUGAAUCUCUUCAGGAAGUCCUGGGUCUGCCCCAGGAGAACUUCCCCUAGUAAACACAGAAGGGUAACUGAUCACGGGCAGGGUGUAGGUGUUGAUAGCCUGGAUCUUGUUUUUCUUUUCAGUUGACUCCCAUUCACCUGUGGGAUCCCAGGUACUUGUAGCUGUCCUCUGUAUCUGCAAUGUUGCUUUCUGGUAGUUUGAUCCCCUCCAUUCUGACUACCUUCCCUCUCUUUGUUAUCUUCCAACUACAUUUCUCUGAACGACAUUCCUUUGUCAUUGCUGUAUAGCCUGGUAGUGUGGAUCAGUGAAUCGAUGUCUCGUUCACUCUUAGCAUACAGCUUGAUGUCAUCCAUGUACAUGAGGUGGCUGAUAACUGUUCCAUUCUGUAGUCGAUAUCCUUAGCCAUGUUGUCAGUGAUCUCACUGAGGGGGUUCAGGCCUAUGCAGAACAGCAGUAGGGACAGAGCAUCUCCUUGGUAAAUUCUGCACUUGAUGAUGACUUGUUCUAUGGGUUUGAAGUUGACCUCUAGUGCUGUUCACUACAUCAGUAGGGCUUUAGAGUGUGAUGUUGUGGCCAGGUUUUUAGGUUGAGGCGCCAUUUAAGCAGGCCAAACAAAGGGCAAAAGCAUACAGAUAAUAUCAGCCAUGGUCGGUAUUUGCUUUGUUGUUGGUUGUAAUGUUAGAUUGAAUGAUUGGGAAGAGAAUAAGCUGGAGAAUGGGAUCUCUUUUUAUCGUUUCCCCUCCUGAAAGCAACGUCAGGGAUCUCAUGUAUCAGAUAUUAACAAAUGAAGACGUCAGGCUUGGAUAGCAGAGGUGAGACGAACUGAUACCGAGUUCUCUACCAUCCGCAGAUUUCUGUUGGUGUGCUCAGACUUUUUGUUCCGGUAAGUUCUAAACAAAUUCAUAUUGCUCUUUAUGGGCUUUUAGUUUUAUUUUCAAUGUGCUGAGGUCAUAGAAAAAUAGAGCAAACAUCCUAAUGUGUGAUUCUGCAGAACUACAUUCUGUUUAUGGAGUAGCUUAUUAUUUAGCAUUAUUGCAGGUAAAUCAGCCUAUGAAAUGGAUGAAACAAAUCCAGACUGGGCACAUAGGGCAUAAUGUUAGACUUUAAGUGACACACAGUUCAUUUUUGAAUGUAUAAUCUCAAGCUGACUUACCUAUGGCUGAACAACAACCUCCUCACAAUGUGGAGGCUUAAAAACGGCCAAAUCUUGUACCCAAAAGUUUGUGAAUUAGAUGUGCGCCUCCAGGGAUUUAUAAUUCUGAAACUGAUUUGCCGUGUAUGCGUUGACUCUACAGACAAGGUACGUAAAGAUAUCAGGGUAGGACAAUGGCAGUAGGUCUUAAGGGUUUGUACUCCAGUGCCGUAUUUCAUACGGGUCCAUAUUAUCAGUGCACGCUAUUUUUUCCAAGUACCGUCCCUUCACAUCUGGGCGCAAUCGGUCUUGAUACAGUCCUUUGUCUUUUGAGCUGAUUUUAAGCAUGGUUCUAGUAAUCGUCCUUCCAACACAGUGUGUUUGUUUUGAUUCGUGGCCUGCUAAAAUGGUGCCAUACUCCCACAAUGCAUUGAGGCAUUAUGUCAACUGCAAGGCCCUAUAUUGAGUGAAGGCUCUUAGGGUCCUGUUGAUCUUGUACAGUUCAGGAUCCCGGUGUGGACCAUUAAGUUAUGAGUUUUCUUGUAGUCAGUUCAGGCAGUGCACAGGUUGGUCAGCCUGGUCUUGCAAUCUCGGGUGACUGCUCUGCACACACUUUUUUAUUUCAGUAACAAAAUGGAGUGAUCAGUGGCCCCGACAUCAUAUGUCACAACAAAGUGGAGCUCUCUCUCUCUCUCUCUAACCCUCGUUCUCUUUACUCCCUAAGUUUCUUCCCUGUCUCUCCUUUUCUCUGUGUGUAUGUUAUGUCUCUCUAUGUCACUGUCUCCUUGUUUCUGUCUGUUUGUCUUUCUUUGAUCUUUAUCUGCUGCGGGUGCUUAAGGCUCUACACCCUGGGGUUGAUUUACUGUUCUGUUUACUUGAUUUUUCUUGAUUUUUUUUCUUUGUGUAAAAGCUCAAAAAACUGUGUUUCAAAGACCUCUGAUUUUCUCCAGAGGAUGUUUUUUUGUGUAUGUUUUGUCUUUUUUAAUUUGGUUUUAAUAAGUUGAAUCUACAAGUGACAUGCCUGACCAAGUUUAUCAUUUUGGCUCUAGAUGUUUGAGCUGACAUCAAAGGGUGCAGACAGCACACACAGUCUUCAUCCUGACUGUAAUGUACACUAUGAUAGGGUUUCAUUUAAAAUCAACACGUGAGCAGCCCACAGCCAAUCUGUUAAUCUGUAAUUCUCACAACAUUUUUUUUCCUUUUUUAAAAAAAAAUUAAACUGAGACUUUUGCUGUAAAUGUCAUAAAUAACAGGAGAUGGCUGUGCAGGUAAAUUCAUUUUAUAAUCCACUUGAUUAUGGUGAUCUGGUUUAUAUACUGUUACAACAUUGAUCAUAGAUUAUAUCUAGUAAUUACUUUUAGGAUUAUAUCUAUAUAUAAUCUAGAUACUGUUACUGGAUAUAAUCAAAGAGCAGAGGUACCCAAAGAGUGUCUGCAACAGAGCCUUGAAAGUAAACGCCAUGAAAUACUGCCCUCUUCUGUUCACUGAGGAGGACUGAUACAGAAAUAUAAGAUACAGAAAUAAAGACCAAUAAAGAUUCAAGAGGCUUCAAGGGGAAGAGACAUGUAAUGACACUUUCAUGGUCACGGGACACUUUAACAUUGGGUGCACAUCUUGUUCAGACUUAAUUUGAAAAAAAAAAAAAAGUAUUAAAUUAUCUGCUGCACAAAGCAAAGCAUUCUCUGUAUAUAUUUAUUUAGCUGCAGCUGCCUUUGUAUAUAUUCUGUUGAUCUCUGAACAUGAACAUAUACUGUGUUUCUAAAUGAUGCAUUUAUCAACCACUCUAGUUAAACUUUAUAUCUUUUUUAUCUUGAAAAAAAAGUUUAAGAUUUAAUAAUCCCAAAGAUUUUUGACUGCACAUGUUAUUAAUAAAAAAUGAUGCAAAAUCUGUAAGGUUUACAGAGAUUAUGUACAAGCUGUUAUUUAUGAUCCCAAAGGGAUACAUAUCAGACUAAAGUUUGUAAAAUAGCAUUCAUAUGAAUGUCUCUAUGUAGAGGACACUGAACAGGAAGGAGGGGUUAUCGUCUGACACAAGAAAAGAUUUCUACUUGUCAGUAAAGUGUUGCUCUGAAUGUGCAGCAGUCAGGCUGUACUAAACUAUAGUGACAUCAUUUCUGUCUCUAGUAAGACGACCUGCCAGUUAUGUAUCUUUAAACUAAAUUUGAACCCUUUAGUUUUGCAGUUUCCUUCUCUCUGUUUCUUUUCACCUGCUGGUGUCUGAAUACUAGAAAGAUUAGGCUUGAUUGAUCACUACACUCACUUCUGUUGAAAAAUCUAAAUAAGUAUAAACCCUAUUAGCCAAGAAACAAGGUGCAUAAUAUAUAUAUGAGCAAAUAAAAAGACCAGCAAAAAACACAUACACACGGGUACGCACACACACAGGCACUCACGUGCUUGUGCAUACACACACAGACACAGAGUUUGCAGCACACCAUGGGGGUUUUAUGAUGGGGUCACUUCUAUAAAGCUGACUGUAACAAAUAAAGGAGUGGAAGAUCUGCAGAGGG
Long non-coding RNA from Oreochromis aureus, 4179 nucleotides. NCBI's taxonomy places the organism in Eukaryota, Metazoa, Chordata, Actinopteri, Cichliformes, Cichlidae. The record is from Ensembl.